AAAAACGGUUUGGCUAUUUGCUGCUAGACACCGGACUCAAUUGUAAAGGCAGCUGGAAUAACAGAUUUACCCCGUUGUCUUUUCCCCUCCCAACUCAUUCCCUACUUGCCUUCUCAGGGCUAGCUGCUCGCACGAGAGAAGCGGCGGGGUCACUGCUGCAUCCCAGACAGCGCCGCCCUGGCCGCCGGCGCGCAGCCCCUCCGGCGGAUCUCCUCCCCAACCCACCUCACUCGCGGCGCGGGUCGUGCUUGACGGGCGACAGCAACCGGAGGUUGGAGGCACGCGACCUUGGCCUACCAGAGGGAAUCACCGAAACCUUAGAUGCCCAAAUUAUUGCAGUAUCUUCAUCUGAAACUACACCAUCCCUUUUGGAGCCUCUAGUUCAGGAAACUGUCGAAGUAGCCCAGUGACAAGAAGUAUGUCAAGAAAAAUGCUGGAAUAUGACUUGUCUACACCAACUAGAGCCAUGACACUAGUUUCUACACCAAGCCCUGUCACAAGAAGCCGUAAGAGGAUACUUGAACUUGAAGACACUAUAGAGCCUGUUCAAUGUCUUGCUUUAUCCCCAGUUCCUAUCAAUGGCAAGGGAAAGCCAAAAAAAAUGAAGGUUGUCAGAUCCAAGAAAACAUAAGCUAUGUAGUGAUAUUUUCCUGUAAUGUUGCUGUUCAAAGCAUGACCUUGUAAUAUGUGGUCUUGUAAUGUGUGGAUCUAUGGUUGGAGCAUGAUAUUUUGUUGGACCUGCUACUUCCGUUUGAAUCUGUAGUAUUAUUUUAAGAUAAAAUGAUAUUCACUUGCUCUAUCA
This is a long non-coding RNA of Panicum virgatum (switchgrass), 802 nucleotides long. RefSeq lists it as uncharacterized. The transcript is spliced from 4 exons. NCBI's taxonomy places the organism in Eukaryota, Viridiplantae, Streptophyta, Magnoliopsida, Poales, Poaceae. The record is from RefSeq and is a predicted model, not a curated record.